This 132-nucleotide small RNA is filed under the name Escherichia coli. Its description in RNAcentral is "RtT sRNA". It matches the Rfam family "RtT RNA". Rfam says of the family: This family represents a bacterial cis-regulatory element known as RtT RNA. The exact function of RtT is unknown although it is thought that it may be involved in changing the cellular response in relation to amino acid starvation. Lineage: Bacteria; Pseudomonadati; Pseudomonadota; Gammaproteobacteria; Enterobacterales; Enterobacteriaceae. The record is from RNAcentral.
AUUCUGCCCAUGCGGGGAAGGAUGAGAAGCUUCGACCAAGGUUCGACUCGAGCGCCAGCGAGAGAGCGUUGCCGCAGGCAACGACCCGAAGGGAGAAGCGCGCAGCGCUGAGUAAUCCUUCCCCCACCACCA